GGGCUUGACAUCCCACGAACCUGCCUGAAGGGCGGGGUGCCCGCAAGGGAGCGUGGAGACAGGUGGUGCAUGGCUGUCGUCAGCUCGUGUCGUGAGAUGUUGGGUUAAGUCCCGCAACGAGCGCAACCCUCACCCCUGGUUGCCACCGGGUAAAGCCGAGCACUCGAGGGGAACUGCCAGCGUCAAGCUGGAGGAAGGCGGGGAUGACGUCAAGUCAUCAUGCCCCUUACGCCCUGGGCUACACACGUGCUACAAUGGCCGGUACAAAGGGACGCGAGACCGCGAGGUGGAGCCAAUCCCAAAAAACUGGUCUAAGUUCAGAUUGCAGUCUGCAACUCGACUGCAUGAAGGAGGAAUCGCUAGUAAUCGCGCAUCAGCACGGCGCGGUGAAUACGUUCCCGGGCCUUGUACACACCGCCCGUCACACCACGAAAGCUGACUGUACUCGAAGUCGCUGAG
This 459-nucleotide ribosomal RNA is filed under the name uncultured Methylomirabilota bacterium. RNAcentral describes it as "bacterial SSU rRNA". It matches the Rfam family "Bacterial small subunit ribosomal RNA", at positions 977 to 1434 of the family's 1533-position model. The record is from RNAcentral. Lineage: Bacteria; Methylomirabilota (SeqCode).